RNAcentral lists this ribosomal RNA (330 nucleotides) under uncultured bacterium. Its description in RNAcentral is "bacterial SSU rRNA". It matches the Rfam family "Bacterial small subunit ribosomal RNA", at positions 18 to 344 of the family's 1533-position model. The record is from RNAcentral.
CAUGGCUCAGAUUGAACGCUGGCGGCAUGCUUUACACAUGCAAGUCGGACGGCAGCACAGAGAAGCUUGCUUCUUGGGUGGCGAGUGGCGAACGGGUGAGUAACAUAUCGGAACGUACCGAGCAGUGGGGGAUAACUAAUCGAAAGAUUAGCUAAUACCGCAUAUAUUCUGAGGAAGAAAGCAGGGGACCAUUUGGCCUUGCGCUGUUUGAGCGGCCGAUAUCUGAUUAGCUAGUUGGUGGGGUAAAGGCCUACCAAGGCGACGAUCAGUAGCGGGUCUGAGAGGAUGAUCCGCCACACUGGGACUGAGACACGGCCCAGACUCCUACGG